GUCCUCAAUCAGCUGUCUGAAUGACCCUAAAGGCACCAGAACAUCACAUUCAUCAGUAAUAAGGUCCUCAAUCAGCUGUCUGAAUGACCCAAGAGGCACCAGAACAUCACAUUCAUCAGUAAUACGGUCCUCAAUCAGCUGUCUGAAUGACCCAAGAGGCACCAGAACAUCACAUUCAUCAGUAAUAAGGUCCUCAAUCAGCUGUCUGAAUGACCCAAGAGACACCAGAACAUCACAUUCAUCAGUAAUAAGGUCCUCAAUCAGCUGUCUGAAUUACCGAAGAGGCACCAGAACAUCACAUUCAUCAGUAAUAAGGUCCUCUAUCAGCUUUCUGAAUUACCAUGGAGACACCAGAACAUCACAUUCAUCAGUAAUAAGGUCCUCAAUCAGCUGUCUGAAUUACCAUGGAGGCACCAGAACAUCACAUUCAUCAGUGAUAAGGUCCUCAAUCAGCUGUUUGAAUGACCCAAGAGGCACCAGAACAUCACAUUCAUCAGUAAUAAGGUCCUCAAUCAGCUGUCUGAAUUACCCAAGAGACACCAGAACAUC
Molecule: long non-coding RNA, 549 nt
Organism: Oncorhynchus tshawytscha (Chinook salmon)
Lineage: Eukaryota; Metazoa; Chordata; Actinopteri; Salmoniformes; Salmonidae
Source: Ensembl